This 80-nucleotide transfer RNA is filed under the name Octadecabacter arcticus 238. RNAcentral's name for it is "tRNA-Arg". It matches the Rfam family "tRNA". From Rfam's summary of the family: Transfer RNA (tRNA) molecules are approximately 80 nucleotides in length. Their secondary structure includes four short double-helical elements and three loops (D, anti-codon, and T loops). The record is from RNAcentral. Lineage: Bacteria; Pseudomonadati; Pseudomonadota; Alphaproteobacteria; Rhodobacterales; Roseobacteraceae.
UCCCAUAGCUCAGCUGGAUAGAGUGCUCGCCUCCGAAGCGAGAGGUCGCUGGUUCGAAUCCAGCUGGGACCACCAUUUCC